CACGCCAGUAGGGGGAAGACCGCGCCUCUGCUUUCAGGUGAUCGAUUGAAGUCUUGUCCUGACUUCCGUAAACGAGCUCUGUUUGAACACCGCUGGAUGAAGUCUUGGAAUGGAUUACACACUCGUCUUGAAUUCGAUCUCACAAAAAAAUUCUCUGGGCUACAAUGCAAAAAUCAAGUCAAAAGCUGGGCCAAAUAUCCAGUCAAGAAAAUCUGGUUGUGUACAGAUUCAUACACCAAAGCCAUGGAAAAAUGUCAUCGGCUGAUGGGAUACUUCUAGCAUUGAGGCAGAAGAAGAU
Molecule: long non-coding RNA, 298 nt
Organism: Alosa alosa (allis shad)
Lineage: Eukaryota; Metazoa; Chordata; Actinopteri; Clupeiformes; Clupeidae
Exons: 3
Source: RefSeq, a predicted model, not a curated record